ACUGCUCCUAGCGACCCCGCGUUUACACGCGCGCGUGCCGAAUGUGCAGCUAUCCGGGAUGGUCUCCGACUUUCCGGGUGAUUCCGGCCAAGCUCAUCAUCGUUCACUCGAGUGCACUCGCUCGCCGUAUCCAUCAUGCGGGCGAGGGCUACGGCUACGACACCGGAUAGGGCAUGAAUAAUUGCAGAAUGCUCCAAAGACAGCGCAAUCGGCCGAGGGAUGUGCUGCUCUUACGCACUCACAAUGUUUACACUGAUCUGCUCCUACAAUGGAGUUCGCGAAGGUCUGCCAGCGAGCUUCCGGGGAUCUGCCAUCGACACCAAAUGAACUGCAGUUUUAAAAGCUUAGUGCGCAAAUAAAAAGAGUAGAGAUGUGG
Molecule: long non-coding RNA, 376 nt
Organism: Dermacentor silvarum
Lineage: Eukaryota; Metazoa; Arthropoda; Arachnida; Ixodida; Ixodidae
Exons: 3
Source: RefSeq, a predicted model, not a curated record